This 67-nucleotide transfer RNA is filed under the name Archetypus frenchi. RNAcentral's name for it is "tRNA-Ser". The record is from RNAcentral. Lineage: Eukaryota; Metazoa; Arthropoda; Insecta; Coleoptera; Cerambycidae.
GAAAUAGGUUAUUCGAAGAUAGGCUUCUAACUUAAACUUCAAGCGAUGAAAUUUCGUUUAUAUUUCU